This 215-nucleotide ribosomal RNA is filed under the name uncultured bacterium. Its description in RNAcentral is "partial 16S ribosomal RNA". It matches the Rfam family "Bacterial small subunit ribosomal RNA", at positions 568 to 777 of the family's 1533-position model. The record is from RNAcentral.
CUCGUAGGUGGCCAACUAAGUCAGACGUGAAAUCCCUCAGCUUAACUGGGGAACUGCGUCUGAUACUGGAUGGCUUGAGAUUGGGAGAGGGAUGCGGAAUUCCAGGUGUAGCGGUGAAAUGCGUAGAUAUCUGGAGGAACACCGGUGGCGAAGGCGGCAUCCUGGACCAACACUGACACUGAGGAGCGAAACGACCGAGGGGAGACGAAACGGGA